GUACCGAUGCUUACGUGGAUAAUAUUUUCAGAUGCUUAAUUUAAAAUAAAAAUAAAAGAAAUAGAGAAAACAUGAAGGAGAGAAGAGAAAAGAGUCAGGAGCGAACGUCGGCUUCAAGCUUCAUUUUCUCGUCCUAACAAAUCCUAAAUCGUAGGUUUUCAUCUCCAUCUUCUCCAUUUGCUGCAGAUUUCACCAUUUUAGAUCGGCAAGAUAGAAGGUGAUGGUUUUUGCUUGUGUGGGCCUUGUCAUUGCGACUGAAGGUGGUGGCGAUGCUCAGAGAGAGGGAGAGAGAGAAGAAAACGGAAGGGUGGUGCGACGUUGAGGAGGAACUCACCGUGCGAUGGGACUGGGUGAUGGCAGAAGUGGUGGUCGUGCUCGACGUGGGGAGCAGCGGGGAAAAAAUAGAUAUGUUGCUCUGUUUUGGAUAGCAAAAACAGAGAAAAAUUUAAGAUUGAGCACGACCCAAAUCUUCCUCUUCUUUUUCAUCUUUUCCUUUCUUCAUGACCCAAAUGAAUUAUUGUUCAGAAGCCUCAAGACCCAUGGCAAUUUCCAUUGGCUGAGAAUCGGUUAAGUUGGCCAAACUUCCAAAGCAUAUAUAUACAACUGAAUCGUUGUUUUUUGUAUUAAACCACUUCAAGCAUUCUUGUUUAUCGAUGGAGGAUUCUUUUCCCCUCUGAUCUCUGUCUUCAGCCUCCUUGUUGCAUAGUGAAAUUGGACCUAUAUGCCAUGCCUUCCUUCCCAAGACCUUUAUGUAAUGAUUUGCAUAAGCUGGUUUGAGCUCAUAGAAGCUGUUUAAAACAACCCCACAGUUCCUCAUCUCUGCUUCUUUGGUUUCUUUCAAAAACUUUUUAUGAGGUUUAUGAUGAUGAAAGGUUUAGAAUUAGAUAAAACUUUUUUAUGAGGUUCAUACACUUGUAGACUCACCAUUGUAGACAGAGAGAAAAAACUAGUUCCAUGAAAAGCAAGCAUUGGGAUGCCAAAUUUAUCAGCAACAUCAGUUGCCCAUGGCAAGAACAUGUCGGCAACAAUGCAAUGAGGUCGGUUAUCUUGUAGUAGCUGCUCGAGGGGUUGUCGGAGCAUUCUCAUGGCUGUCAUGAAACUAGCAGAGUUUUCAUCGGAAAUUUGGGGGAAGCGAGUUUUUCCCUUCCCGCUCCAGAAGCAGUUGUUUGAUGAAGACAAAAACGUCUUCCCGCUCCUGUUGCACGAAAUCACUUUCUCCAAGCUUUGAAACGCGCCAUUUCAUUUGAAAUGUCAGCAUCGGUGCACUUUCUGGUCCGUAAAUGGCUUGCAAAAAGAGUUUUCCACCAUUAAAACACUAACUAUUGAGGUGAGAUCACGUAAGUGGGAAAACUUUCCCCCCUUUGCCUACAUUUAAGAGAAUAUGCUGGGAAUAUUGGAAUAUGUUGAGAAAUAUUCCCUUAUUAGCAUUCAAAUAGAUAAGUACUUAGGCGCCAAUUUGAAAAUUUUUCAUUCAAACUGAUAUUUUACCCGUUCGAAUGGGAAGUUUCAGAAUUUAAAACCCUUCUCUUCCAUUCUUUCACUCACAACACUCAAAUUAAUUUCAAAACAGAGCAAUUGAGGGCAGAGAAGAUACUGGGCAGUGUGCACCUGGAGAGAGAAGUGUGUUAGAGAGAGAGAGAGAGAGAGAGAGAGAGAGAGAGAGAGAGAGAGUUUGUGGGUGAACUUUGAAGGAAAAAGUAGAGGUAUUGGUUAUUUGGAGAGAUUUGUUGGACUGCACAAAUUUGAGCAAUGAAGUACUGUCAACAAAGCAAAUAGAGCAAAUUUAACGAUAUACUAUCAUGCUGGUUCUCAAUUUUUUCAUUUACUAUCAAAAAAAUUGGAAGAAGAAAGUCCUGCUGACUAUAAUCUGAUCAAAUAGUAUGCUAAAUCACAUAAAAAUCAUGAUAGUGUUUGGACCAAUCACGAAGCAUGAGCAAAUUAUAUAAGUUUCAGUUUUUUAUUUGUAUUGUCUAAUAAUAUUUUUAUUAUUUAUAACUAUCUUUAAUGAUUUUUUUAUAAGACAAGAUGGUAUCACUCA
Molecule: long non-coding RNA, 2038 nt
Organism: Carya illinoinensis
Lineage: Eukaryota; Viridiplantae; Streptophyta; Magnoliopsida; Fagales; Juglandaceae
Exons: 5
Source: RefSeq, a predicted model, not a curated record